RNAcentral lists this small RNA (281 nucleotides) under Sinorhizobium meliloti 2011. Its description in RNAcentral is "putative ncRNA". The record is from RNAcentral. Lineage: Bacteria; Pseudomonadati; Pseudomonadota; Alphaproteobacteria; Hyphomicrobiales; Rhizobiaceae.
UCGCACUUGGUCACGUCCGGAAUAGCAAUAGUCGGGAGAGCGUUGGUCAAGAGGUCGCGGGCGAGUGAAGUAGCUGUUGACGAUGUCAUAGUCCGAUCGCCGAUGCCCAGCCGGACCCAGAGGCCAUCGAUGAGAGCAGACAUUGACAGGGAUAGUCGCUCGGCUUGCGAGUGUGGAACCAAUGAACGAAACCCCGACAUCAGGUUCGAAUGCAUCCGCGCAUGGAAAAUACUCUGCAAUCUUGCCAGCUGCGGCUCUCGCGGAGCCUCAGCGCAUAGCGA